UCUCCGUAGGUGAACCUGCGGAGGGAUCAUUACCGAGUGAGGGUUCCGGCCCGACCUCCAACCCUUUGUGAAUUCGACCCAGUUGCCUCGGGGGCGACCCGGCGCUUCGGCGCCAGGGGGUCCCCGCUGGUCCACACAACUCUGCAUCUUUGCGUCUGAGUAAACAUUAAAUGAAACAAAACUUUCAACAACGGAUCUCUUGGUUCUGGCAUCGAUGAAGAACGCAGC
RNAcentral lists this unclassified non-coding RNA (228 nucleotides) under uncultured fungus. RNAcentral's name for it is "sequence contains ITS1, 5.8S rRNA gene". The stretch from base 180 to 228 matches the Rfam family "5.8S ribosomal RNA", at positions 1 to 49 of the family's 154-position model. The record is from RNAcentral. Lineage: Eukaryota; Fungi.